Molecule: ribosomal RNA, 206 nt
Filed under: uncultured bacterium
Lineage: Bacteria
Description: partial 16S ribosomal RNA
Rfam family: Bacterial small subunit ribosomal RNA
Source: RNAcentral
UACGUAGGGUGCAAGCGUUUAAUCGGAAUUACUGGGCGUAAAGCGUGCGCAGGCGGCUUUGCAAGACAGAUGUGAAAUCCCCGGGCUCAACCUGGGAACUGCAUUUGUGACUGCAUGGCUAGAGUACGGUAGAGGGGGAUGGAAUUCCGCGUGUAGCAGUGAAAUGCGUAGAUAUGCGGAGGAACACCGAUGGCGGAAGGCAACUC